GAUGAAGAACGUAGUGAAAUGCGAUAAGUAAUGUGAAUUGCAGAAUUCAGUGAAUCAUCGAAUCUUUGAACGCACCUUGCGCCCUUUGGCUAUUCCGAAGGGCAUGCCUGUUUGAGUAUCAUGAACACCUCAACUCUUCAUGGUUUUCCAUGAAGGGCUUGGACUUUGGGGGUCUUGCUGGCCUUUAGUCAGCUCCUCUCAAACGAAUCAGCUUUCCAGUGUUUGGCAGCGUCACAGGUGUGAUAACUAUCUACGCUUGUGGUUUUCUGCCAGGUAAUCCUCAGUGAUGGGGAUUCGCUGGGGCUUAUAAAUGUCUCUCCUCAGCGAAGACAGCUUUGUGAACGUUUGAUCUCAAAUCAGGUAGGACUACCCGCUGAACUUAAGCAUAUCAAUAAGCGGAGGA
RNAcentral lists this unclassified non-coding RNA (403 nucleotides) under soil metagenome. RNAcentral describes it as "partial contains 5.8S ribosomal RNA, internal transcribed spacer 2, and large subunit ribosomal RNA". The stretch from base 1 to 121 matches the Rfam family "5.8S ribosomal RNA", at positions 35 to 154 of the family's 154-position model. The record is from RNAcentral.